Pteronotus mesoamericanus is the source of this 70-nucleotide small nucleolar RNA. RefSeq annotates it as small nucleolar RNA SNORD5. NCBI's taxonomy places the organism in Eukaryota, Metazoa, Chordata, Mammalia, Chiroptera, Mormoopidae. The record is from RefSeq and is a predicted model, not a curated record. The transcript has a single exon.
AUUCAGAUGAUGAUGUUUUCUUCAGCUGCUGAAUGAUACAGACAGGAACUAAAAUGUAAUUCUGACCAAA